This 230-nucleotide ribosomal RNA is filed under the name uncultured Alicycliphilus sp. RNAcentral's name for it is "partial 16S ribosomal RNA". It matches the Rfam family "Bacterial small subunit ribosomal RNA", at positions 550 to 774 of the family's 1533-position model. Lineage: Bacteria; Pseudomonadati; Pseudomonadota; Betaproteobacteria; Burkholderiales; Comamonadaceae. The record is from RNAcentral.
AGCUGAUCAUUGGGUGUAAAGCGUGCGCAGGCGGUUUUGUAAGACAGAGGUGAAAUCCCCGGGCUCAACCUGGGAACUGCCUUUGUGACUGCAAAGCUGGAGUGCGGCAGAGGGGGAUGGAAUUCCGCGUGUAGCAGUGAAAUGCGUAGAUAUGCGGAGGAACACCGAUGGCGAAGGCAAUCCCCUGGGCCUGCACUGACGCUCAUGCACGAAAGCGUGGGGAGCAAACA